RNAcentral lists this transfer RNA (72 nucleotides) under Stegodyphus mimosarum. It matches the Rfam family "tRNA". Rfam says of the family: Transfer RNA (tRNA) molecules are approximately 80 nucleotides in length. Lineage: Eukaryota; Metazoa; Arthropoda; Arachnida; Araneae; Eresidae. The record is from Rfam by way of RNAcentral.
GCCUUCGUGGUGUAACGGUUAGCACACUCGGCCCGUAUUCGAGAGGCCCAGGUUCGGGUCUAGGAGAGGGCA